RNAcentral lists this ribosomal RNA (253 nucleotides) under uncultured bacterium. Its description in RNAcentral is "partial 16S ribosomal RNA". It matches the Rfam family "Bacterial small subunit ribosomal RNA", at positions 524 to 776 of the family's 1533-position model. The record is from RNAcentral.
UACAGAGGUGGCAAGCGUUGUUCGGAAUUACUGGGCGUAAAGGGCGCGUAGGUGGCCUUCUUAGUCAGACGUGAAAUCCCCAGGCUUAACCUGGGAACUGCGUCUGAUACUGGAAGGCUCGAGUUCGGGAGAGGAAUGUUGAAUUCCAGGUGUAGCGGUGAAAUGCGUAGGUAUCUGGAGGAACACCGGUGGCGAAGGCGGCAUUCUGGACCGAAACUGACGCUGAGGCGCGAAAGCCAGGGGAGCAAACGGG